CCCCCAGGCUAUAGCCCACCCGUUUUUGUGGCCUUUUUCCGCUGGACGAACUUGGCGCCCCGGCCUUCGGGUGGUUAUUUUUGGGCGCGGCUGUGCCCGCGGCCUAUUUUUAGCACACGGAGGUGCCUCGCAAUGUCUCGCGCCAUUCCGAGUCCGGCGGACGAAGUUGGCCUGCCCACCCCCAAAGGCUAUAGCCCACCCGUUUUUGUGUCCUUUUUCCGCUGGACGAACUUGGCGCCCCGGCCUUCGAGCGGUUAUUUUCAGGCGCGGUUGUGCCCGCAUCCUAUUUUUGGCAAACGGAGACGCCUCGCAAAGUCUCACGCCAUUCCGAGUCCGGCGGACGAAGUUGGCCAGCCCCACCCCCCAAGGCUAUAGCCCACCCGUUUUUGUGGCCUUUUUCCGCUGGACGAACUUGGCGCCCCGGCCUUCGGGCGGUUAUUUUUGGUUGCGGCUGUCCCCACGGCCCAUUUUUGGCACACGGAGGCCGCUCGCAAAGUCUCGCGCCAUUCCGGGUCCGGCGGACGAAGUUGGGCAGCCCCACCCCCCAAGGCUAUAGCCCACCCGUUUUUGUGGCCUUUUUCCGCUGGACGAACUUGGCGCCCCGGCCUUCGGGCUGUUAUUUUUGGGCGUGGCUUUGCCCGGAGCCUAUUUUUGGCACACGGAGGCCCCUCGCAAAGUCUCGCGGCAUUCCGAGUCCGGCGGACGAAGUUGGCCAGCCCCACCCCCCAAGGCUAUAGCCCACCCGUUUUUCUGGCUUUUUUCCGCUGGACGAACUUGGCGCCCCGGCCUUCGGGCAGUUAUUUUUGGGAGCGGCUGUGCCCGCGGCCUAUUUUUGGCACACGGAGGCGCCUCGAAAAGUCUCGCGCCAUUCCGAGUCCGGUGGACAAAGUUGGCCAGCCCCACCCGCGAAGGCUAUAGCCCACCCGNN
Molecule: long non-coding RNA, 928 nt
Filed under: Citrus x clementina
Lineage: Eukaryota; Viridiplantae; Streptophyta; Magnoliopsida; Sapindales; Rutaceae
Description: Citrus clementina (C. clementina) long non-coding RNA (CCLE_LNC005948)
Source: RNAcentral